Molecule: ribosomal RNA, 253 nt
Filed under: uncultured bacterium
Lineage: Bacteria
Description: partial 16S ribosomal RNA
Rfam family: Bacterial small subunit ribosomal RNA
Source: RNAcentral
UACGAAGGGAGCUAGCGUUGUUCGGAAUUACUGAGCGUAAAGCGCACGUAGGCGGAUUUGUCAGUCAGGGGUGAAAUCCCGAGGCUCAACCUCGGAACUGCCUCCGAUACAACAAGUCUUGAGGACGAGAGAGGUUGGUGGAAUUCCUAGUGUAGAGGUGAAAUUCGUAGAUAUUAGGAAGAACACCAGUGGCGAGGGCGGCCAACUGGCUCGUAUCUGACGCUGAGGUGCGAAAGCGUGGGGAUCAAACAGG